UACGUAGGUGGCAAGCGUUGUCCGGAAUUACUGGGUGUAAAGGGAGCGCAGGCGGGAAGCCAAGUCAGCUGUGAAAACUACGGGCUUAACUUGUAGACUGCAGUUGAAACUGGUUUUCUUGAGUGAAGUAGAGGUUGACGGAAUUCCGAGUGUAGCGGUGAAAUGCGUAGAUAUUCGGAGGAACACCGGUGGCGAAGGCGGCCAACUGGGCUUUAACUGACGCUGAGGCUCGAAAGUGUGGGGAGCAAACAGG
RNAcentral lists this ribosomal RNA (253 nucleotides) under uncultured bacterium. Its description in RNAcentral is "partial 16S ribosomal RNA". It matches the Rfam family "Bacterial small subunit ribosomal RNA", at positions 524 to 776 of the family's 1533-position model. The record is from RNAcentral.